RNAcentral lists this transfer RNA (71 nucleotides) under Bos taurus (domestic cattle). It matches the Rfam family "tRNA". Rfam says of the family: Transfer RNA (tRNA) molecules are approximately 80 nucleotides in length. Their secondary structure includes four short double-helical elements and three loops (D, anti-codon, and T loops). Further hydrogen bonds mediate the characteristic L-shaped molecular structure. tRNAs have two regions of fundamental functional importance: the anti-codon, which is responsible for specific mRNA codon recognition, and the 3' end, to which the tRNAs corresponding amino acid is attached (by aminoacyl-tRNA synthetases). tRNAs cope with the degeneracy of the genetic code in two manners: having more than one tRNA (with a specific anti-codon) for a particular amino acid; and 'wobble' base-pairing, i.e. permitting non-standard base-pairing at the 3rd anti-codon position. RNAcentral also lists the same sequence under 1 other name. The record is from Rfam by way of RNAcentral. Lineage: Eukaryota; Metazoa; Chordata; Mammalia; Artiodactyla; Bovidae.
UCCUGAUAGCUCAAUUGGUCAAGAAUCUGCCUGCAAUGCAGGAGACCCCGGUUCGAUUCCUGGGUCAGGAA